AUGGCCAAAUUCUGGUGGGGGAGCUCACUGGAUAGGAAACCUCUUCAUUGGAUCGCUUAGGAGAAGUUAGCUACAUAAAAAAUUAAGGGCGGGAUGGGAUUCCGUGACUUACGACAGUUCAACUGGGCACUUUUAGGGAAGCACGGGUGGAGAUUAAUGAUAGAUCCUAAUUCCUUAUGUGCUAGAGUUUUGAAAAGCAUAUACUUACAUGAUACAGACUUUAUGCACGCCACUAUUCCGAAGUCCGCUUCAACCACAUGGAGAGCGAUCAUUGCCGGUCGUGAAGCACUCAAUGUGGGUUUGCUGAAAAGAGUUGGUGAUGGAGCAUCCAUCUUGGCUUGGGAGGACAAAUGGAUACCUUCUACAGUAACAAUGUCGCCAAUAUUCAAACCAGCUAAUACACAUGUUCAUAUGGUUAGUGACUUGAUUGAUUCCGCAAACUGGACAUGGAACCGGGAACUCAUGCGAGACACCUUCAUUGCACCUGAUGCCGAAGCUAUAUUGAACAUCCCAAUUCGGCGAGGUGGAGGUGAGGAUUUUCUUGCUUGGGCGCAUGAGACCUCGGGAAUAUGCUCUGUGAAAUCGGCUUACCGUGCUCUCGUGAAUCAAAAAGAGCGUGUAGCUCUAGAGGAAGGGCAGGUAACGGGACCAUCAACGACAGAAGAACAAAUGUGGAUUUCUCUCUGGAAACUCAAGGUUGUGCCCAAGGUGAGGGUUUUUUGGUGGCAGUCAUUAGGGGCUUAA
Molecule: ribosomal RNA, 744 nt
Filed under: Triticum aestivum (bread wheat)
Lineage: Eukaryota; Viridiplantae; Streptophyta; Magnoliopsida; Poales; Poaceae
Description: partial small subunit ribosomal RNA
Source: RNAcentral